UGACCGAGCGUCGCGAAAAGUGAAAAGGGAAUCGGGUGUAAAUCCCGAACAAUGCCUGUUGCUGUGAGUUCCAUUCCGAGGAUUGCGGAAGUUUGUUUGUCGCUCUCUUUGCCACUGGUGAAAACUGGGAAGGCGCGACAAGCGGAACAAGUCAGAAGACCUGCCUGUGCAA
Molecule: non-coding RNA, 172 nt
Filed under: uncultured Alistipes sp.
Lineage: Bacteria; Pseudomonadati; Bacteroidota; Bacteroidia; Bacteroidales; Rikenellaceae
Source: RNAcentral